Hydra vulgaris (swiftwater hydra) is the source of this 1659-nucleotide non-coding RNA. Lineage: Eukaryota; Metazoa; Cnidaria; Hydrozoa; Anthoathecata; Hydridae. The record is from RefSeq and is a predicted model, not a curated record.
AUUUUGUACAAUGAAUACUCUUAUGACCAAAAGCCUAAUGAUUAUUAUAAGCAUAACCCAACUUGGGUUAUAAGCAUAACCCAACUUUAAAGGAAAGUUUUUCUGCAUGUUUUUCUAACCAAGUAAUAAUGCACUAAAAAGUGGAUUGAAAAAAAAUAGCAACAAAUUUAUUGUCCCAAAAAAAAACUAUAAUCAUGCACUGAAAAACAACCUUUCGUCAACAAAAGAAUGGCACAAAUUUCCAUUGAUAAAGUGUAAGAUAACAGAUAGUCAGUAUCUAACUUGUUUUGUGUUUUUUUUAAAGGUAACUUAAUUACUUUUUUGUAGCAAAAUGUUUUAUAAUUAGAUUCAUUUUCAUGUUGUGAAGAAUACAACUUUCUACAUCAGAUGAGAUAUAUGUUAAAGAAAACAUUAAAAAUAAGAAUAACAAAUCAUACCGCUCUUCAUUACCAGAACCUCCGCCACCUAUUAUGAAUAAGCCCAAUGAUAAAAGUAUAACACAAAUAUCAUAUUUUUUUCUUAAUGGUUUAUAAACUGAAAUAGAUUCUUGUUUAAUUUGAUCUGAAUAAUAUCUAUCUAGCUAUUAGUCUUUUUUAUGUAUUACUAAGAUUUUCCUUUUAUUUUAACUAUUUGGGUGUCCUAUUAUAUGUGAUGUUGUUAAAUUGGAUACAUAUAUUUAUAUGAUUGACAACAUUAUAUUGUAUUAAAUAAUCCUUUAAUCAACUUGAUAUGAAAAUUGAAAAUUGAUUGAAAGCAUGCUGAAAUUGUUUAAAUUCAGAAAUUGAAAGAGUACAAAAUUGGUUGAAAAAUUAAAUUAAGUAACAGGUAUGGUUGAGGGAUUAUUUAUAGUUCUAAUUAUAAUUAUUUCUUUUGAAUAGAGUUGUUAUCAGAUUCAAAGAUUGAAGAAGAUAAUUUUUCUUCACAUUUUAUUAAUGAACAGAAUAAAACCAAGCAAAGUUCACAUUGUCAAAGAGUUUCAAGUUUUAAUAUGACUUUUUUUGGUUUUUACACCACUGAAUGUUAAUGUGGAGGUCUUUUUUAUAAAUUUGCUUUUGUAUUAAAAUAAUUGAAAAAGAUAGGUAUAAAAGAAUAGAAAUGGAUUAUUUAUAAUAUUGUGAUCCGAUAAAUGUGUGUAGCAUUUUACCUUAAGUAGUUAAACAAAAUUCUUUAAUAUCGUAACUUUUUACAGGAUAAAGUUUUAGCUGAUUUAAAAAGUAGGUUUUCCAAAAUAUUAUGGCAACUUCUGCGAUGGUAUAAUUAAAAAACUUAAAUGUAUUUUUGGAACUUUAGUUUGAGUUACUCAAGCAUAAUUUGAAUUUUAAAGUUCAUUUUUCAUUGUUUUGCUAUUUGGUUUUAUGAGCUAAAUAUGUUAAUCAAUCUUUUUAUUCUUGUUUGUAGAAAUGCAAAAUGUUAUUCUCAACGAGCUUGCAGAAAUAAAAGAUCUUUUAAAAUAAGUUAUAGAAAUUAAGUUUCAGGCUACUGGGGUGAAGUUGCUAGAAUCAGUGGACGAAGUGGUUUCACUGGAUAAUAAACUAAAAGAUAAAACUGAGUAUACUAAUUUGAUAUCGGCGACGUGGAAGAAAAUGUUGACGGCAUUGAAGAAAUAUAGUUUCUUAUGUAUAUUUUUGUGAAAUAAAAAUUAAGUAAUGUUAGUUAAAA